GAUGUAAGGGCCAUCUGGCUGAGAUACCUGCCACCCAUUGAUAGCCAAUAUUGAAUUGACUGAUCUGACUGCCUAGACUGGUGUCCCCUUCCUUAAUCACCACUCUGAAGCUGUAAGCUUGGUAGAAGAGGAUAGCUAGUCCACAUAGGAGUACAGUUCUUCUGUUAAAGGUAUACACUAGUUUAGAACUGCUGCUAUAAUUUCCAUUAAAACACAAGAAUAUGGCUUUGAAAUCUGAGACAAGAAUUCUUGGGAUAGCUAAUGGCUAUGGGUCAUAUUUU
This 281-nucleotide small nuclear RNA is filed under the name Salvator merianae (Argentine black and white tegu). Its description in RNAcentral is "7SK RNA (ENSSMRG00000011265.1)". It matches the Rfam family "7SK RNA". From Rfam's summary of the family: 7SK was discovered as an abundant small nuclear RNA in the mid-70s but a possible function has only recently been suggested. Two independent studies have found that 7SK RNA binds the CDK9/cyclin T complex (known as elongation factor P-TEFb). P-TEFb activates transcription by phosphorylating the C-terminal domain of RNA polymerase II. The record is from RNAcentral. Lineage: Eukaryota; Metazoa; Chordata; Lepidosauria; Squamata; Teiidae.